Molecule: ribosomal RNA, 440 nt
Filed under: uncultured bacterium
Lineage: Bacteria
Description: partial 16S ribosomal RNA
Rfam family: Bacterial small subunit ribosomal RNA
Source: RNAcentral
CUACGGGACGCUGCAGUGGGGAAUAUUGCACAAUGGAGGAAACUCUGAUGCAGCAACGCCGCGUGGAGGAUGACACUUUUCGGAGCGUAAACUCCUUUUAUAUAGGAAGAAGAUGACGGUACUAUAUGAAUAAGCGCCGGCUAACUCCGUGCCAGCGAGCCGCGGUAAUACGGAGGGCGCAAGCGUUACUCGGAAUCACUGGGCGUAAAGAGCGUGUAGGCGGAUUAAAAAGUCAGAAGUGAAAUCCUAUAGCUUAACUAUAGAACUGCUUCUGAAACUCUUAAUCUAGAAUAUGGGAGAGGUAGAUGGAAUUUCUGGUGUAGGGGUAAUAUCCGUAGAGAUCAGAAGGAAUACCGAUUGCGAAGGCGAUCUACUAGAACAUUAUUGACGCUGAGACGCGAAAGCGUGGGGAGCAAACAGGAUUAGAUACCCGAGUAGUC